RNAcentral lists this ribosomal RNA (253 nucleotides) under uncultured bacterium. RNAcentral's name for it is "partial 16S ribosomal RNA". It matches the Rfam family "Bacterial small subunit ribosomal RNA", at positions 524 to 776 of the family's 1533-position model. The record is from RNAcentral.
UACGGGGGGGCAAGCGUUGUUCGGAAUUACUGGGCGUAAAGGGCUCGUAGGCGGCCAACUAAGUCAGACGUGAAAUCCCUCGGCUUAACCGGGGAACUGCGUCUGAUACUGGAUGGCUUGAGGUUGGGAGAGGGAUGCGGAAUUCCAGGUGUAGCGGUGAAAUGCGCAGAUAUCAGGAGGAACACCGGUGGCGAAGGCGGGUCUCUGGGCAGUGAACUGACGCUGAGGAGCGAAAGCGUGGGGAGCGAACAGG